ACGAAGGGGGCUAGCGUUGCUCGGAAUUACUGGGCGUAAAGCGCACGUAGGCGGUUUUGUAAGUCAGUGGUGAAAGCCCAUCGCUCAACGGUGGAACGGCCAUUGAUACUGCAAGACUUGAAUUAUUAGGAAGUAACUAGAAUAUGUAGUGUAGCGGUGAAAUGCUUAGAGAUUACAUGGAAUACCAAUUGCGAAGGCAGGUUACUACUAAUGGAUUGACGCUGAUGGACGAAAGCGUGGGGAGCGAACAGGA
RNAcentral lists this ribosomal RNA (253 nucleotides) under uncultured prokaryote. Its description in RNAcentral is "partial 16S ribosomal RNA". It matches the Rfam family "Bacterial small subunit ribosomal RNA", at positions 525 to 777 of the family's 1533-position model. The record is from RNAcentral.